Molecule: long non-coding RNA, 405 nt
Filed under: Phoenix dactylifera (date palm)
Lineage: Eukaryota; Viridiplantae; Streptophyta; Magnoliopsida; Arecales; Arecaceae
Description: long non-coding RNA (PDAC_LNC010230)
Source: RNAcentral
CGCAGCGCCCUUCAUCAAGGACCCGUCCGCAUCAUGGCCAUUUCCUUCCCCGGUUCAAAAUCCCAGCCAUUGCAUCUCAUCCCGAGCAAUCAUCCGAGUCCCAGGUCCCACUUCCAUCCUUUCGGAUUUCCUUCUCUGCCUCUGCUUCCACCCGCGAUGAUUGCCCAAGAUUUCGUGAUCCCAGCCAUCCACGAAGCUUCCAAUUCGGCCAUCCUCUUCCAUUUCUAGCCAUCAAGGAGCCUGUGAAGCUAGCCAUCAUCUUCUUCAACCUUCCGCGCAUCCCUCACGUGAUCAACCCCCCUCCGCUUCUUUCCCCAUUUCAAAAAUCCUCCCAGCAAGGCGUGAUCUCAGACACCAUUUCCAGCUUCUUCCGGAACCGACCCAGCCUCCUCAGCGAUCCAGCCG